CCUACGGGUGGCUGCAGUGGGGAAUAUUGGACAAUGGGGGGAACCCUGAUCCAGCCAUGCCGCGUGUGUGAAGAAGGCCCUCGGGUUGUAAAGCACUUUCAGUGAGGAAGAACGCCUGGUGGUUAAUACCCAUCAGGAAAGACAUCACUCACAGAAGAAGCACCGGCUAACUCCGUGCCAGCAGCCGCGGUAAUACGGAGGGUGCGAGCGUUAAUCGGAAUUACUGGGCGUAAAGCGCGCGUAGGUGGCUUGAUAAGCCGGUUGUGAAAGCCCCGGGCUCAACCUGGGAACGGCAUCCGGAACUGUCAAGCUAGAGUGCAGGAGAGGAAGGUAGAAUUCCCGGUGUAGCGGUGAAAUGCGUAGAGAUCGGGAGGAAUACCAGUGGCGAAGGCGGCCUUCUGGACUGACACUGACACUGAGGUGCGAAAGCGUGGGUAGCAAACAGGAUUAGAACCCUAGUAGUC
This 464-nucleotide ribosomal RNA is filed under the name Vreelandella stevensii. RNAcentral describes it as "partial 16S ribosomal RNA". It matches the Rfam family "Bacterial small subunit ribosomal RNA", at positions 338 to 795 of the family's 1533-position model. The record is from RNAcentral. Lineage: Bacteria; Pseudomonadati; Pseudomonadota; Gammaproteobacteria; Oceanospirillales; Halomonadaceae.